Molecule: long non-coding RNA, 7073 nt
Filed under: Daucus carota (carrot)
Lineage: Eukaryota; Viridiplantae; Streptophyta; Magnoliopsida; Apiales; Apiaceae
Description: long non-coding RNA (DCAR_LNC005415)
Source: RNAcentral
AUACGUGAUAUGUAUAUGCGAUAUAUUGUUUAGUGACUAUAGUAUUAUCUUAUUCUCGUAAAGGAUUUGGACGAGACGUGUACGCUCGAAGACGUCAGAAAGUCGGAAUGGUAUUGCAAAGCGAAUAAGGGAUGAAUCGAGUAAGCGAAGCGAUGUGGCGAAUAGAGUAUAGCUAGAGAUGGUCUAGAGAUUACGAGAUGCAUAGAUUGUGAAAGUUGAAAGAUGAGAUAGAGAUGUGAGACUGGAGUCAGAUUUAAGGCAAGUAUCCUAAACCUUUCCCUUGGAUAUAUUGCAAAUAUUCUGAUCCAUUCCUUUGGUAUAUGUUUCAAGUAUUCAUACCUUUCUUUUCAAUGUUCGAAAGUGCGAGUAUUCUGAACCAUUCUUUCUAAUCUUCAAGUUUCUAAAGAAUUUCCGUUUUACAAAUUAAUUCGAAGUUCAGAUUGUCAUUGAAGCAUGUGUUGCUCAGUGAUAGUUAGAGCUUUGAAUGAAUUGGGAUCUUCUUGAUUAUUCAACCCGCCAUUGUCAUGCUGGUUUAGCAGGCUAAAUUCAGUUGCUUAGCCGAUAAUGGAGGAUACUGAAUAGUUGAGGAUUUCCUGAACUGUGAUUUAUGAAAUGAUGGAUCAUGAUUUAUGAAUAGAUUAUUAUCAAAGUUUGAAUUGGAAUUAUUCUGUUGUUGAUGAUAUUUAUGAUGAUGUUCUGUUAAUUUACAUUGGCUUCUUGAAUUGAAUUAGAGAAUUGGAUUAUUGUUUUUAUAUAAACCUGUGGACCAGAUUCGUGGUCAUGUUAGGCCAAUGAGUGCCUUGGAUCCAGUGAUAGAGCAUGGCGGGGCCUGCUCGGGGUUAGUGCGGAACUGAUCAGCUGCCUAACCUUGGUUUUAAUUAAAAUGUGAUAGUCCAAUUCAAUAAUUCUUUUGGAAAGAUUGAAUUCCUCAGUAUUCAAUUGCUGCAAGGUAUUGUGGUGUUCUUAUACAAUACCUAAACUCGUGAACUCAGGUUGAACCCUUUUAUAUCUUGAACUCGUGAAAUUCUAUUAUAUCAUUUCAGAACUAUCAUUGUUUAUUAUUACUUGCUGAGCAUUGUUGCUCACCCUUGCUAUUCCUUUCUAACCAUUUCAGAAAGGCUUAAAGAUGAGAUGAUUGAUUGAGAUUGUGAGUAAGGCUAAUGCUAGGCGAGGAGACAGAGUUGAGGAUCCAGUGGUCGAGGAGUGUUCAGGAAAGUUGAUGAGGUUGGUGCAAGCUGGAAUAGUUGACAGUGAUUCUUCUUAUCGAAGAUGAUCUGAUUUGGUAAGAGAUGUUGUGUAAUAAUAGUGGUAGAUUCUAAUUUCAAUACUGUAACCUGGAUGCGAUCCUGUUGCUUUUAGGGGGUUUAAAUGUUCUCUUUCGAAUCAUUUAUUAAAGUUUAAAUGUUCUCUUGAAAUUAUCCUAUUAUGGCUUUCAAGAUUGAAAUUCAGGUUUUGAAAUCAUUCGAUUUAUGUUCUCAUUCAAAUCUUUUAUUAAAUGUUUUCACGUUUUAAAUUCUUUUGGAUUUUCAUUAUCAUUUAAAAAAAAAAAAUACAGGUUUUCAAAAGUGUUUAAAAAUGGGUUUUAUGUGGUGACGUCAGAAUCCAGGCCCCCGGAUUCUCGGACCGUCACAGUUGGUAUCAGAGCAACAGGUUAUAAGUAUUUGAAAUUAGAAUAUAGAUCAUAGUUAUAGGUUUUCUAGAGAAGAAUGUGGUGUAACCUCACAUAGAGGUAUGGUCGGACUAUUUAGGAAUAGUCUAGAGAUGUGAGUGAAGCAUAGAGUUUAGUUAGAUGAUCAAGUUAAUUGUGGAUAUCUAAAGAGAUUAGGAUUCUUAAGUUUAGACAUAUGAUUUCUAGUAUGUUGAUUAAUUGAGAUGGUGAAUUAUGGGAAAGGUCAGUAUUAGACCUAUAUAGAAGAGUUUGAUAGUGAAUGAUUGAGUUGAGAAUGGUGAAAAUGCAGAGUUCAGAGUAUUCUGACUAUACUGCAUAUUUGAAAUUGGAUUAUUGUAUUGAUUUGAGGAUGAUAUAAAUGCAUGGUUCAUAGUAUGUUGACCAUGUCAGAUAUUUGGAAGAUGUAUAUUGUUUUGAGUGAAGAUAUGAAGAGUAAGUGUAGAGUAUGAGUUGUAUUGGAUUAGAAGGAGAGAUUGGUAGAUAGAGGUUGAUAGGUGAGAAGUGAAUGAUAGAGAGUACGUGGAAUUGAGUCCAGUUAUUAGAGAUGAUGUCUACGAGUAAGUUAGAACGUUAGUCCUCGACGACAACGCUUCGAGCUAAUCGGGAUUUCAAAUGGCAUCAAGGUGGGCCCAUAACCCACAGGUUGAUGAUCCAGACAAUCGAAGAUACGUUACGUGUUUGUGCUAUGGAUUUCAAAGGCAACUGGGAUAAAGUAGAAGAAUGUAAACUACAUGGGCCAGAGUUAUUACGGACGAUAACGUCUACGAUGAUAUUUUACGAGGCUAAUACGAGUCAAAUCGAUUGAUUAUCGGGAACGUUGAGAAGAAGACUUACGUCGAACAACGAUUUAUUGAAGUAGAGUCGAAAUCUGAGAAGACCUUGGCAAUACCUCUCUUCAACUAAAGAUUCUUUUGAUUGUUUUCUCAUCAGUGAGAUAUUAUUAUGAUAUCUUUUCUACAAAAGUUUUGAUAAAUGAGAUCUUCAAUUUCUCAAAUUCUAAGAUGACAUUGAUAUUGAUGAUUGGUAUGAGUUGGAAGACAAAGAUGUGUGAUAAAGGAUUGUUGUGAAGAGACAGUGAUGUUCUUUGAUAUUGUUUGACAUUUCUUGACAGUCCUUGAUAUUAUUUCAUCUUCUUGGAUAUCCCAUGAUGUUCUUUGAUAUUUUGAUAUCCGUUGAUAUUCGUUGAUAUUCUUUGACAUUCUUUGAUAUUCCUUGAUAUCUUUUCGAUGUUCCUUAAAAUAUUCCUCGAUAAUCCUUAACAUUUCUUGAUGCUCUUUGAGAUUUCUUGGAUUCUUUCCAUUUGAUUGGGAUGAACAACUCUAUUUAUAGGGGACACAAGGUAUACCUGUCUGUGUGAUAGGAGUUGGAUGGGACGCCAUCACUUGUGUGUGUUGUGAUUACAAGAAGGUUAACAACCUUUAGUAGUGUCUAAUAUAGACACGCAACAUUAAGUUCAUUUGAUCGUAUUGAUCUCCCAGUCACUCUUGUAUUCCAAUGUGACCUACUUUGAAAGCAUUUUGUUCCUCCAAAAUUCCCAAAGAUUGAUUCUUGGGAAAACGAAUUUGGCAAUUGUGAAAGUUUUGAUUCUCCUGUAUUUUUAAAAGCUAAAGGUAUGCCAAGGUUGAUCAAAAGAUGGAUGACGAUACGAUAUUACGAAGUGUGUACGGUUUCGUUUUCUUCGGGGGGUUCCGAGGACGGAAUCCUUAUAAGGGGGUAGAAUGUAAUAUCCCAUAUUUUUUAAAUUUAGACUUGAUUGUUAUAAAUCUAUCUGUCUAAAUAUUAUUGUUGGCUUUAGUUGAGAAGUGAAUUGAUUAUGUGAAUAGCUUUAUAUGAUUAUACCUGUUUUGUGGAUUAAUAUGGAUUUUACAAAUAUUGCAUCCUCCUUCUUUCUCUGAUUCCGAGGACGGAAUCCCUAUAAGGAGGGUAGAUUGUAAUGACCCGGAUUUUUUAAAAAUAUUUUUAUUAGUAUUAAAAGUGAUUUUUCUUUAAAGAAGGGAAUAAGAUUUAAUAUUUUAUUCCAGUUUAAGGAGUUUUCAAAAUUUUAUACUAAACCCCGGGUUAUUGUGUUAUUGAUAAAUGAUUAUAUUUUUAAAACUGAUUUUCAUAUAUUGUUUCGAAAAUUCUAGAUGAUUAUUAUGUGAAUAUAUGUGUGAUGUGAGUAAGUGGUAUUGGUGGAUUUGUUGGUUAAUUAAUUAUGGUUAAUUAUGAGUAUUAUAUGAUUAAUAUAUGAAUUUUUGUGAAUUUUAUAUUAUCUGGUUUAUUGCGUUAACUGCUCAUAUGUGUUCGUAUUUGAGAGAUUUCAAUUUCUAUAUGCUCAGGAGAAAAUAUAGUUUAUUUGGAUAUUUUCAUAUCGAUUUAUGGAAUGUUAGAUGAUUUUAUAAUCGAUUUACGGAUUUAAUUGCGUAUAUUUAUAUUUAAUUAUUAAUUAUUUGACUUCCGUAAAACCGUCCACUCGUAACGAGGUAGCAAAUUUUCUUCCCGGAAGUUUCAACAAAACUGACCUUUAGCCUAAUUUGAAUAUUCCGGACACUUUUCGUGUUUUGACUUUUUCGAUCCGGAGUACGGUUUUCCCCGGAGUCGGUCCGGCGGAGUUUUUCGGGUAUUUUAAUUGUUGAUAAUUAUCCAGUUUGUCUCGAUAAACGUGAAACGAGAUAUUUUGAUUAUUAUAUUAAUUCUUAUCUUGUAAUAAUUGCAAUGGGACCCGCAUACUAAUGACUGAUUAAAAAGCCCCGUUUUGAUGAUUAUCUUGAAAACCAGUACCGAUUGGACCCCGCUUUAUUAAUAUAAAGCUAUUAAAUACGUAUUUUCAUGUCAUAAACGAUCCAAAGGGGUACCAAUUAUUUGUAAAUAUAAAUAGACCUUUCUAGAGCUUAUUUUCACCCGUAAAAUCAUUUCACCAGUUUCUUUGCACGAAUACCGAGAGAAACCGAGCGGUGUUCUUCGUGUUCUUCAUAAUCAAACGAAGAUUUGAAGGUGUUAUUGGAGUCAGAAUCAAGCGUGCAAAUAGUCAAAUCGAAGAUAUCGAAGAGUAGAACCCAAAUCAAUCAUCAAAAACAACAUGAGAUUCACAGGUAGGGAGUAAUUGAAGUUUUAAAAUUCGAAUUAUUAUGAUUUAAAUAGUGAAUUUUUGCAAACGUGUUUGUUUGAUUGUUUGGAUGAUUCCAUGUUGUAGAACGUGUUUUUCUCGUCGUUUUGGUAUAUUAUAUGUUGAAUUUUGAGUUCGGAAACAUCUAGAAAAGUGGGUUUGAUUAUUUGGUUGUGUUCUUGGUGUUCUUGAGGUGUUCAUAAAUAUUUUCACCGGAUUUUUUAUUAGAUGAAUCUGGGUGCAAUAUGAGGGUACCAUCAGGGGUGUUGGGUUACCAGGAGUUUGUUGGUGGUCUUGGAUGUUUCGUGGGUGCUCGAUUUCGAGCAAAUCGGGAAGGGAGGUGACUCGCCGGCGGCGAGUUUUUCCCGUCAUAUUCCAGCCAAACGGCUUGAGGAAUCGCAGAAACGAAGCCAUGUCCAAGUUCCCAGUAGUGUCUAGGCCAUAUCUGGAGGUUUUAGUGUGUGUUGGAGCGCUGUAGCGCCGUUAACGGUGAAGCAGUGGUGGCCGGCGGCAAAUUGCCAUUUGGCCACCCAACUUAUGAAGAUGGUGAAGAUCUGGUAUCGAGGUUUUGAAUCUUACAAAGUAACCCCUGUAACUUCUAAAAGUUACAGUUUAAACCUUGGCCGAAAAGUUUCAAAAGUUUACAAAAUAAACCUUUUGAUUUAAUUUUCUAAAAUUGUUUUAUUUAAUUAUUUUAAAUUUCAAAAAUAGUUUUUAAUUAUUUCUUUAUUCAAAAAUAAAUCUAAAUUAGUUUAUUAAUUAAUUUUAAUUAGUAAUUAAUUAUUUUAAUUGGUCAAUUAAUUUAAAUAUUAAUUGAUUAAUUAUUUUAAUUAAUUAUUAAUUGAUUUUAAUUGAUUAAUUAAUUGGAUUUAAUUAUCCUUUUUGAUUUAAAAAUUCCGAAAAAUAGUUUCGAGCUUUAAAAUAUUUUUCCAAAUUAUAUUCAAGGCUCGAUAAUUGUUUAUGAAUGAUUUCAAGUCCAAUUUCAAGUAUUUGGGACUUGAUUAUUUAUCCGAAAAGUGAUUCUUUUAUCGAUUUUAAUUCCGAAAAAUGUUUAAAAAUUCCAGAAAAUUCCCGAAAAAUCAUUUUGAACCCAAGAUUUGAUUUGACCUCUAUUGGGGUGGGAAACCUUAUGUGUAAUGUGUUGUCUGCUAUUGGUUGGAUGUCUUAUGUGUCGAUAUAAGAGUGAGAAAACGGUUUUAAACAUAUCUUUUGAUCCGUAAGUCGGAAUCGAGUGAAACGAAAGAGAGAUGAAAGCUUAUAAAGUCUAGUUUGGUAUGACAUAAUAAUAUGAUGGAGUCGAGAAUGUGAAUAAUUGUUGUUAAAUGUGCCGAAUGUGAUUAUAUGUUAUUGGAUUGUUAUUAAUUGAUGACUACGUGAUAUAUAUGUCUAUUCUUGAUAUUAUAUACGUGAUAAAUGAUUUGGAUGACAUAGUGUCGUGAGUUGAUUGAUAUUGGAUAAGAAUAUAUGGAUUAUAGUGAUUGGAUCUUGUUGAUUGGUUGUUGAUUGAGAUAGGAUAACAGGUGGAUAGUCUUAUACAUAGAGGAAACGAUGUCGGAAUUUCGAUAAGGAUUGAUAUGAUAAUUGAUUGGUGAUAUGUUAUGUGGAAUAUGAUUGAUUAUAUGUUAGAGUCAAAGCAUGCUUAUGUGUUACGUGGUAUGUGAUAGGUUUAAAGGGGUAUAUAAGUGGAUAUCGAUAUACGUGAUAUGUAUAUGCGAUAUAUUGUUUAGUGACUAUAGCAUUAUCUUAUUCUCGUAAAGGAUUUGGACGAGACGUGUACGCUCGAAGACGUCAGAAAGUCGGAAUGGUAUUGCAAAGCGAAUAAGGGAUGAUUGAGUAAGCGAAGCGAAGUGGCGAAUAGAGUAUAGCUAGAGAUGGUCUAGAGAUUACGAGAUGCAUAGAUUGUGAAAGUGGAAAGAUGAGAUAGAGAUGUGAGACUGGAGUCAGAUUUAAGGCAAGUAUCCUACACCCAUCUUUUGGAUAUCUUGCAAUUAUCCUGAUCCAUUCUUUUCGUAUGUGUUGCAAAUAUUCGUUCCUCUCUUUUUCAUAUUUGGAAAGUGCAAAUAUUUUUAUCCAUCCUUUUCUAAUCCUCCAAAAAUUCAGAUAAUUCCAGUUUUACAAAUUAAUUCGAAGUUCAAAUUGUCAUUGAAGCAUGUGUUGCUCAGUGAUAGUUAGAGCUUUGAAUGAAUUGGGAUCUUCUUGAUUAUUCACCCCGCCAUUGUCAUGCUGGUUUAGCAGGCUAAAUUCAGUUGCUUAGCCGAUAAUGGAGGAUACUGAAUAGUUGAGGAUUUCCUGAACUGUGAUUUAUGAAAUGAUGGAUCA